This 451-nucleotide ribosomal RNA is filed under the name Planctomycetaceae bacterium. RNAcentral's name for it is "partial 23S ribosomal RNA". It matches the Rfam family "Bacterial large subunit ribosomal RNA", at positions 1 to 470 of the family's 2925-position model. The record is from RNAcentral. Lineage: Bacteria; Pseudomonadati; Planctomycetota; Planctomycetia; Planctomycetales; Planctomycetaceae.
GAUCAAGCGCGAUAAGGGCGUUUGGUGGAUGCCUUGGCAGCAAGAGGCGAUGAAGGACGUGGCACUCUGCGAUAAGCCCGGGGGAGGCGAGAGCACCCUUUGAUCCCGGGAUGUCCGAAUGGGGAAACCCACCUGACACUGCGUUAUUGACUGGCUUCGUCAGUCAAUAACGGGGUGAACCAGGUACUUUCGACCUGAACACAUAGGGUUGAAAGAGCGAACGCGGGGAACUGAAACAUCUCAGUACCCGUAGGAAAGGAAAUCAAUCGAUACUCCCCCAGUAGCGGCGAGCGAACGGGGACCAGCCGAGCCCAAGACGUGAGCAGAACCGGAUGGAAAGCCGGGCGAGACGGGUGACAGCCCCGUAUGCGAAGCGUCGCGGGACGUAUCAAGUAGGGCGGGACACGUGAAAUCCUGUCUGAACAUGGGGGGACCACCCUCCAAGCCUAAG